Capsicum annuum is the source of this 1206-nucleotide long non-coding RNA. RefSeq lists it as uncharacterized. The transcript has 2 exons. Lineage: Eukaryota; Viridiplantae; Streptophyta; Magnoliopsida; Solanales; Solanaceae. The record is from RefSeq and is a predicted model, not a curated record.
AUCUCCCACAUCCACCGUAGAGUGAAGUACAAGGAGGACCACAAAUGUCCUAUUCAUUUUCCUAUUUCACGAGUCACACAUGUUACUCAAUAGGGGGACAGCCAAAUUCAGGGUUCACGAGCACGGCGUGGUUGACGCUCUUAACUUAGCGUGAAGACCACAAUUAUCCCAUUGGAGCCUUUCGAAGUGUUUGUACGGAAAACCAAAAAGUAAACCCCAUCCCCCACCCCUUAGGCCACGCCCUUCCUGCUUCCCCAAUUGUCCCUCUGGCUUUCCAACAGUCCCGACUGGCUAGCUUUAGUUAUGGAGUCAGGAUGUCAUAGUUUUAAACGCCAUGGCACUUCAUGAUUUUUGACUUAGAUUCAGAGAUAUGCAAUCAGAGCAAGUGGAAUCGGUGACGGAUACAAAGGGGGAUGCAUCGGAUUUCAGCUGAAUUGAAGCGACUUCACCAACAAACUCCCUUUUUACAGGGCUUGUGCAGGAAGAACCAGAACUGCCCGACAAACUGGAAAAGGUAUCAAGCUGCUUGCAAGGAGUAAGUGGGAAGACUGUUAGUAGAUUCUUGUAAAGCCUUGGGGACCAACAAUCAGCCUCCAGCAGAUAGAGGUGUGGAGCUGUUUGUGCAGCCCCAAGGAUCUUUCUUUUAAUUGUUUGUUCCUGCACAACAAUCCUAGUUUAGAUGACUUACUAGUUGUCUAAUCACUGAUGUUAUGGCUGUCUGGCAUGAUUCUUUUAUUUAGAAUAGAAUGCUAAGUAAUGUGGAAACUCGGCCAGAUCCACUACUACCAGCAUUGAGAAAACUUUCUGCGUUUGUUGCUUCGAGAGAUCGAUGGUUUGAAGGACUAAAAAAUACAUCAGGUUGCAGAUUCUGGGUAUGGUGAUAUUAUUAGCUAUUUUCUACUUGCUGGAGACAAACGUUUAAUUGACACUUGCAGUUGGUCAACAGCAGUAGAAACUUGUUCCUAGGAAGAAUACCAAUUUUGAGGAGUAAAAUUUUCUGACUAUCCAAUCCAAGGAAAAAAUGUAGUUCGAGCACAAGAAACAGAUGUUUGUGCAGACGGAUCAUCUUCGAGGAUAUAUAGUAGUUGCUGCAAAGGGGCAGUUUGGAUAGAAGAGUGCUCUUCUUCUGAAAAAUACUGGAUAUGAAGAUAAGUAUUAAAUAGAGCAACUUUAACUUAUAUUACACAAAAACAAGUCCUUGUUUCA